CCGGAUUUAUUGGGCGUAAAGCGCGUCUAGGUGGUUAUGUAAGUCUGAUGUGAAAAUGCAGGGCUCAACUCUGUAUUGCGUUGGAAACUGCAUGACUAGAGUACUGGAGAGGUAAGCGGAACUACAAGUGUAGAGGUGAAAUUCGUAGAUAUUUGUAGGAAUGCCGAUGGGGAAGCCAGCUUACUGGACAGAUACUGACGCUAAAGCGCGAAAGCGUGGGUAGCAAACAGGAUUAGAUACCCUGGUAGUCCACGCCGUAAACGAUGAUUACUAGGUGUUGGGGGUCGAACCUCAGCGCCCAAGCUAACGCGAUAAGUAAUCCGCCUGGGGAGUACGUACGCAAGUAUGAAACUCAAAGGAAUUGACGGGGACCCGCACAAGCGGUGGAGCAUGUGGUUUAAUUCGACGCAACGCGAGGAACCUUACCAGCGUUUGACAUCUUAGGAAUGAGACAGAGAUGUUUCAGUGUCACUUCGGUGAAACCUAAAGACAGGUGGUGCAUGGCUGUCGUCAGCUCGUGUCGUGAGAAG
RNAcentral lists this ribosomal RNA (530 nucleotides) under uncultured bacterium. RNAcentral describes it as "bacterial SSU rRNA". It matches the Rfam family "Bacterial small subunit ribosomal RNA", at positions 545 to 1074 of the family's 1533-position model. The record is from RNAcentral.